This 204-nucleotide ribosomal RNA is filed under the name uncultured Lactobacillus sp. RNAcentral describes it as "partial 16S ribosomal RNA". It matches the Rfam family "Bacterial small subunit ribosomal RNA", at positions 159 to 355 of the family's 1533-position model. Lineage: Bacteria; Bacillati; Bacillota; Bacilli; Lactobacillales; Lactobacillaceae. The record is from RNAcentral.
AGUGCUAAUACCGGAUAAGAAAGCAGAUCGCAUGAUCAGCUUUUAAAAGGCGGCGUAAGCUGUCGCUAUGGGAUGGCCCCGCGGUGCAUUAGUUAGUUGGUAAGGUAAAGGCUUACCAAGGCGAUGAUGCAUAGCCGAGUUGAGAGACUGAUCGGCCACAUUGGGACUGAGACACGGCCCAAACUCCUACGGGAGGCAGCAGCA